Molecule: ribosomal RNA, 1260 nt
Filed under: Triticum aestivum (bread wheat)
Lineage: Eukaryota; Viridiplantae; Streptophyta; Magnoliopsida; Poales; Poaceae
Description: partial small subunit ribosomal RNA
Source: RNAcentral
AUGGGGCUGGCUCGCGAUGUGGUGGACCUCAGCUCCGACGAGGAGGAGAGCUUCCGCAGGCUUUCCGCCGGGCCGCUCGGGUGGGUCUCCAAACUUUUCGACCGCGUCGUGAUCAUCGGCGACUCGCCCGAGCCACCCCGGAAGAAGGGCGGGUCCGACGGCGUCGGCGGGGCUGACGGAGGAGAUGAAGACUGCGUGGUCCUCGACGGCGACCCCGACAGGCCCGUCGCCAUUGCGCGUGACAAGGGGGCUGCCUCGGAUGAGCUGGAGAUUGUCGCGGUGAAAGGCCAGAUAGCAUGCAGGGACUUCCCUCCCGCGCGACAUUCAUGUUCUGAAUUUCCCUUCAGCACUACUUUGCACGUGAAGCAUUGCAGCAAGUGCUACUGUUUUGUCUGCGAUGCUCCAGCUCCAUGCAAGAAUUGGGAUAAAGGUCUCUUGAAUGAUGAUCAUUGUCAUGCUACGGACAAGGAAACAAAGUGGAAAACUCUGAGGCAGCUGUCCAAGUUAAAUAGUCUGGCAGCAUCUUAUCCAGAAAGAUACUCGAAUGCUCUGUACCCAACAACGUCGUCACUGGGACGUCAGCAGGAGUGCACAUCAGAGGAGCACACAUCGGAGGACGAUGGGGAGUACUUCGAGCCCGAUGAGGAGGCCACAGUGUAUGUUGGGAACCUACCCUAUGACACCGAGAGUGAGUACCUUCCCCAGCUCUUCAAGUAUGCCGGAACCGUCGAGUCCUCGGAGAUCAUUUACAACAAGGAAACAGGCCAGAGCCGUGGGUUCGGAUUCAUCACGAUGAGUACCGUUGAGCAGGCUGAGAAGGCUGUGGAGAUAUUCCAUGGCAGUAAGCUGGAUGGCAGGCUUAUGACUGUGAACAAGGCAGGUGCUUCUAGAACUGCCCGGACCGAAGACAGACGUUCUCCCCGCUGGUCCGGAUCUUCGACGGCCGUCAAAAUCUACGUGGGUCAUCUGCCUUACGAAGUGGACGAUUCUCGGCUAAAGCGGCUGUUCAGCAGGUACGGCGAUGUGGUCGAUGCCGAGGUCAUCUACGACUACGGAGGAGCGGGUUGGCGCUCCCGGGGCUUCGGUUUCGUCACCAUGGCAACGCGGGAGGAAGCGGACGACGCGAUUUGGGACCUCGACAAGCAGAUAUGGAGGGGGCGUGAACUGCGCGUUGAAGUUGCCAAAGAGGAGAGGCGGGGUUGGACGGCAGGACUUGGGUCCAGAUUCAGACAUGCAGGGCCCUUGCUUCCUUUUUUUUGA